GUACGGAGGGAGCUAGCGUUUGUUCGGAAUUACUGGGCGUAAAGGGCGCGUAGGCGGAUAUUUAAGUCGGGGGUGAAAGCCCAGGGCUCAACCCUGGAACAGCCUUCGAUACUGGAUAUCUUGAGUACGGGAGAGGUGAGUGGAAUUCCGAGUGUAGAGGUGAAAUUCGUAGAUAUUCGGAAGAACACCAGUGGCGAAGGCGGCUCACUGGACUGGUAUUGACGCUGAGGUGCGAAAGCGUGGGGAGCAAACAGG
RNAcentral lists this ribosomal RNA (255 nucleotides) under uncultured bacterium. RNAcentral describes it as "partial 16S ribosomal RNA". It matches the Rfam family "Bacterial small subunit ribosomal RNA", at positions 523 to 776 of the family's 1533-position model. The record is from RNAcentral.